GGAUUGCAAGGCCAAAGCCAGCUUCAGCAACUUAGUAAGGCCUGAACAACUUAUUGAGACUCUAUCUCAAAAUAAAAAGGACCGAGGCUGUGGCUCAGUGGUUAUGUGCCUUUGGGGUUCAAUCCCUGAUACCCCCCAAAUAAAAAAACUGUUAAUAAUUAUUAUUAUGAUGAUGAUUAUUGGUAUUGGGGAUUGAAUUUAGGGAUAUUCAACCACUAAGCCACAUACCCAGUCCUAUUUUGUACUUUAAGACAGGAUCUCACUGAGUUGCUUAUUAGCACCUAGCUGUUGCAGAGGUUGGCUUUGAACUCACGAUCCUUCUGCCUCAGCCUCCCAAGCUCUGGGAUUACAGCCAUGUGCCACCACACCUGGCUUAGAAUAUGAAAUUUAUCAUCUUAACCUUUUUCUCUUUUUUUUUUGGCAGUACUGGAGACCAAACCCAGGAGUGUUCUGCCACUGAGCUACACACCCAGCCCUUUUUAUUUUGAGACAGGAUCUAGCUAAGUUGCCGAGGCUGUCCUCUAAUUUAUGGUCCUCCUGCCUUAGCAUCCCGAGUCGCUGGGAUGACAGCUGCCCACCAGUACCCAGCUACUUUAACCAUCUUAGGCGUGCAGUGCAGUGGCACUGCACACAUUUUUGUUGCUAUGCAGCCAUCACUACACCUACCUGUAGGACUGCAGCAUCCUCCCCAACAAGCUCCACUCCUCACCCUCCAUCCUCAGCCCAUGGCAGUCACUGUGCUGUCUCUGAAGCCAGCCACCCCAGGGCCUUUUGAAGCGGGCAGUGCUUGUCCUUCUGUGGCUGAUGUGCCCCACCUAACAGGAUGUCUUCUCCUUCUCCCUUCUCUUCCUCUGCUGCUGAGGAUGGAACCUAGGCCCCUGCACAUGCUAGGCAACCACCCUACCCUGGAACCACACCCCUGGCCCUUUGUAUUUCUUGAGACAGGGUCUUAUGAGAUUGCCCAGGCUGGCCUCGACCUUGUGUUCCUCCUGCUUCGGCCUCCCAUGGCUGGGAUCACAGGCAUGGCCACCAGUGUGCCUGCUGAGUUUAAUUUGUAUCGUAUCAUGUGCUGGCCAGUGAUGUUUCACUGUGGGCUGCACCUCACUCUGUUUACCUGUGGGUGACCGCGGGCUGCUCAGCCCUGGGGGUGCCUGGUGUGUGCGGAUCUCUUCAGUUUCCAGUGCUCCGGGUCACUACCUAGAGGCAGAACUGCCGGGGCAGAGUCUGGGCUUGGUUUCUGAGGAGCUGACCUGCUCUUUCCUGCAGGGCCGUGCCGCUCGUCUCCGCUCUGUCACAGGUGGCCUCACCUGACCCCAGGCUUUCAUCACCAGGCCCUAAUGGCAGUCCUGUCUGUUGGUGAGUCCUUUGAGUGUGGAGAGGAGGACGGCGAUUCAGAACUGAGGCUUCCCAUCCACACAGCCCAGGAGUGGUGGCCAGGGAAAAUGGUCUUAGGGACCCCAUCUGACACCCUGGAAGGAUGGGCUGCGAAGCCAGUUGGAGUCCGCGAUUCCAAGGGCUUGUCUGACCUGGACGGAGGCAAAGCUGUGUGCAGGGCGGUUCCUCUUCCUGACAGGCUGGGGGACUGUUGAUGUCCCCACCUGCCUUUUUCUGGCCAUACUAUCCUGAUGCUGCCUGUGGGAAGGUCCUGGGGGUUGCUAGCUAGGUGUCCUUGCAGGCCAAUGUCUAGGGGAGAACUGAGAUUGGUGGCAUAGGAGUGGCUUAGCAGGACUGAGAGGAUGAGAGAAGCUUUGUCCAGCCUGGGGACCACGCCCAAGUGCACAUUUGGUCAGCGGGCAAAGAAGGCAGUGCACGGAGCUCCUAAGAGGGUGGGAGCCUCAGCCUCCCAGGUCUCCUGUGUAUCCUGCAGAGUGGCCGGAGGGUGACCACCAGGAGGCACAGGCAGCAUGAGUGCCAGAGCACUGAUGUAGGGGUGAGAAGUGAACGGUGUGGGAUGGCGUGGAGCGCCUCCAGGGUGCUCUGCCUCCCACCGUGUGCUCUGCACCCUGUUCUUCCCCUGCGGUAGCAGCUCCUCCCGUCCUUCAGGACACUCAGCAGCUGGGGCUGGGUUUCCACUCUACAGCAGCACUUGCCUAACAUGUGCAGGGGCCUGGACCCAGUCCCAGCACCAAAGGGGAAAGACUACCCAGCGGUGGGUUCUGGUUCCUGUCUUCUGCUUCUGCCUGGCCCUGCUCUCAGGCUGCCCUCCCCUGGUGGAGCCCCCAGACCCUGCUCCCCAGAAGGGCAGCCUCUGAUGGCUUCUGGCCCUUCCUAUGAGUGUUCCUAUGCUCUUCUCCAUUUGAAGAGAGACUGAAGCAGGAGCCGGGCCUCUCCUUGGAGACAGUGCAUGCCUACCUACCUCUGCAAAGUGUGGCACCGGGCCACCUGGGAAGGGAAGCCCUGCACCAUGGCCCGCCCCAGCCUUGUCCCUUGUCUUGUACCUCACAGUCCAGGUGCCAGGUGAAGAGAGGACCGCAGGGCCUUGAGACCUGUGGAGGAGCAGUGGACAGACGAGAACUCAAGGCUGAGCCAGGGCACUGGGUGUGUGCAGCCUGUGUCCAGCAUGCCCCUCGGGAGGCCAGUCUCUGCCUGGGUCACGGUCUGGGAGGAAGUGUAGCAGCCCGGGGCCCAGCCUUGCCAUUUGUUGUUAUAGCAGCAGGGUUUGUCUGAGGCAGGGUGUGUGCUGUGCUAUGAGGGUGUGGGGUGCCAGGCACACGUGGCCAGGCCCCUGGGGAUGGAUGUGGCUCAGCAAUGACCAGCCUUGUGCCUGGAUGGCAGCUCACCAGAAGGCUGACUUUCCUGAUCUGUAAAACAUGGGCCACAGCGGCACUGAUUCCCCUAGGGCUGUGUGAGGACUUGGCAGAUGGUGUCUGUCGCCGUGCUCUCUGUCUUCAUCUUGUCUGGGGAAACACGUAGGACAAGGAGGGUCACAGACCCUGCCGCAGCAGGGGGUGGGGGACUGGGAGCCAUGAGGCCAGGAUGUGUGCCAGCUCCAGGGGCCACUGAAGGCCUCCUGGACAAGAGGACCUGGGUCUUGAGAGAUGAACACAAGUCUUAGGAGUGAAGCUGACAGCUCCUGGAUGGAAGCAGUAGCUGACAGAAGCACAGGCUGCACGGCCCUGUGCACACAGGCCUCCAGCUCCCCCACCACCCUGGAAGAGGGUCUGCUAUUAUUUCCGAGUUCAGAGGAGGGUCAAAGACACAGACACCCUAUAAUUUGUCCAGUCACAGAGCUAGAGAGGGAUGGAACCAGGCCUGGAAGCCGGGAGCCUGGCCCAGAGCCUGUGCACAUGGAGAGGGAGCAUCUCUAGUGGGUGAGCAGUGGUGGAGCUGUGAGGAAAAUGGGCUGGACCUCGGACAGGUCCCACCAGGGCAUCUGGUUGGCUCCUCGGGUCUGUGCUUCCCAGGUUUCAUGGGCUGCCAGGUUGAAAAGUGUUUGGGAGGCUGACAUAGAACUGCUAACUUUAAAAUCUGCCAAGUAAGGAUUUUAUUUUUUCUUUUAAACCAAAACUCUGCAAGUGGUCUUGCUGGCCACUUCUGAGUUUCUUGCCAUGUAACCUUGGUUAAGAGACUGGGUACCUCUGAGUCUCUGAGAAAACUGGGACCCCCAGCCUCACUGGCCUGGGAAGCCCUCUCAGCACCCAUCUCUCAGAGGUCUUGGAUAACACUGGAUGUGUCUGGACCUCCUCCCGGCCUCAGACAAAACAGGGCUAGUGCUCACUGCCAGAGAAGCCACACAGGCCUAGGCCAGCUCUGCUGCUGUCGCCUAACAGGGGGUGGGACUUAGCAGUUUUGCCCUUCAGAUGCCCUAGUAAAGAGGUCUGCCAGGGCUCUCCAUCCAACAUGGUCCUUUCCUUCCAAGAGCAGGAGCACGGACUCUGUAUUAGUUAGACAUGACCAGUAGUUCUGUCUGUCCUAGAGGCCAGUGUAGGCCCUGGGGGCUUCUGGCCUCAGGGCCGUAGGAAGAGAACAAGCCCUCAUCUUGGUGGCAUUGACCGUGGGUUCCUGUGCCACUGUGGAGUCUGCAGCCUCCACACUUGAGUGGGGCCUCCAGCAGCCUGGGCCACCCAGAAUGGUAAAUACUCCAGUAGCAGAUAGUCACAGUUUGGUGUUUCGUCUUGUCCUAAAUGCUUCCUGAAACAAAAUGAACAUAUUUGAUGCCACUAAUGAUGUUUUUAAAAAGAAGGAAUCACAUAAUUCAUUCUAAGACCACCAUCUAUCUGUUGCUGCAAUCCUGUUUUCUGUAUGCUUCUGAGGAGACCUCACAGUGGGUCUCAGGACUGCCUUCCUCAUUCCUGCUUUGCUGAGACAAGCUCAUGACCCUUGCAGGUCUCCUGGGAAGUGGCCCAGACCUGUGCUCUAGGGCUUGUCCCAGAGAAGCCUGGGAUGGAGAGGCCCAGGCCAGCUUAUAAGCAUUGCCAGCUUGAAUGCACUGGUUGGUUCCUGAGUUCCAACAGAGUCUUCAGGGGUGGAGACAGGCCACCCGAGGUGGAGUGCUGAUGGAGCUGUGUGGCCAAGGUGGGGUAGAGCAGAUUGUCCACUCCUGGGCAGCUGCGGGCUGCCAUGGCACUAAGGCAGAGCUGGGCAGUGGCGACAAGAGCCGGUGGCUGGGUGACUGAGUGUGUAUUUUGGGCAGUUACUUUCUGAAGUGGCUUUAGUGGUUGACAUUAAGGAAGAGGCCUCUUGGCAGAAGGAAAAGAUUGAAGGAGUUCUA
RNAcentral lists this long non-coding RNA (4711 nucleotides) under Marmota monax (woodchuck). Lineage: Eukaryota; Metazoa; Chordata; Mammalia; Rodentia; Sciuridae. The record is from RNAcentral.